Molecule: ribosomal RNA, 390 nt
Filed under: Ischnomyia spinosa
Lineage: Eukaryota; Metazoa; Arthropoda; Insecta; Diptera; Anthomyzidae
Description: partial 12S ribosomal RNA
Source: RNAcentral
UCUGGGAUUAGAUACCCUGUUAUUUAAAAUGUAAUCAAUUUAUUAAGGUAGUAAUAGUUAUGUUCUUGAAACUUAAAGAAUUUGGCGGUAUUUUAGUCUAUUCAGAGGAACCUGUUCUGUAAUCGAUAAUCCACGUUGGACCUUACUUAAAUUUGUUUAAUCAAUUUAUAUACCGUUGUUAUUAAAAUAUUUUUUAAAAAUAAUAAUAUUUAAUAAUUUUAAUAAAAAUUUAUAUCAAAUCAAGGUGUAGUUUAUAUUUAAGUAGAAAUGGGUUACAAUAAAUUUAUUUUUGGAUAUAAGUAUGAAAAUUUUUAUUGAAAUUGGAUUUGAUAGUAAAAUUGUAAAGAUUAAUAAUUUGAUUUUAGCUCUAAAAUAUGUACAAAUCGCCCG